RNAcentral lists this ribosomal RNA (467 nucleotides) under uncultured bacterium. Its description in RNAcentral is "partial 16S ribosomal RNA". It matches the Rfam family "Bacterial small subunit ribosomal RNA", at positions 28 to 507 of the family's 1533-position model. The record is from RNAcentral.
GAUGAACGCUGGCGGCGUGCUUAACACAUGCAAGUCGAACGGAAAGGCCCAAGCUUGCUUGGGUACUCGAGUGGCGAACGGGUGAGUAACACGUGGGUGAUCUGCCCUGCACUUCGGGAUAAGCCUGGGAAACUGGGUCUAAUACCGGAUAGGACCACUUCUUGGAUGUUGUGGUGGAAAGUUUUUUCGGUGUGGGAUGAGCUCGCGGCCUAUCAGCUUGUUGGUGGGGUAAUGGCCUACCAAGGCGUCGACGGGUAGCCGGCCUGAGAGGGUGUACGGCCACAUUGGGACUAAGAUACGGCCCAGACUCCUACGGGAGGCAGCAGUGGGGAAUAUUGCACAAUGGGCGCAAGCCUGAUGCAGCGACGCCGCGUGGGGGAUGACGGCCUUCGGGUUGUAAACUCCUUUCGCUAGGGACGAAGCGUUUUGUGACGGUACCUGGAGAAGAAGCACCGGCUAACUACGUG